GUGGGGAAUAUUGGACAAUGGGCGAAAGCCUGAUCCAGCCAUGCCGCGUGUGUGAAGAAGGUCUUCGGAUUGUAAAGCACUUUAAGUUGGGAGGAAGGGCAGUAAGUUAAUACCUUGCUGUUUUGACGUUACCGACAGAAUAAGCACCGGCUAACUUCGUGCCAGCAGCCGCGGUAAUACGAAGGGUGCAAGCGUUAAUCGGAAUUACUGGGCGUAAAGCGCGCGUAGGUGGUUUUGUAAGUUGGAGGUGAAAUCCCCAGGCUCAACCUGGGAACUGCCUCCAAAACUGCAUGACUAGAGUACGGUAGAGGGUAGUGGAAUUUCCUGUGUAGCGGUGAAAUGCGUAGAUAUAGGAAGGAACACCAGUGGCGAAGGCGACUACCUGGACUGAUACUGACACUGAGGUGCGAAAGCGUGGGGAGCAAACAGGAUUAGAUACCCCGGUAGUCC
RNAcentral lists this ribosomal RNA (450 nucleotides) under uncultured bacterium. RNAcentral describes it as "bacterial SSU rRNA". It matches the Rfam family "Bacterial small subunit ribosomal RNA", at positions 354 to 796 of the family's 1533-position model. The record is from RNAcentral.